Mesocricetus auratus (golden hamster) is the source of this 1276-nucleotide long non-coding RNA. RefSeq lists it as uncharacterized. The record is from RefSeq and is a predicted model, not a curated record. NCBI's taxonomy places the organism in Eukaryota, Metazoa, Chordata, Mammalia, Rodentia, Cricetidae. The transcript has 7 exons.
AAGAGACACACGCCUUUAAUCCUAGCAUUCGGGAGGCUGAGUCACUCACCAGGGCCCCGGCGCCGUCUCGAUGGCUCCACCAUCCAUGGUGCUUUCCCUUUCUCCAACAAGGUGAUGAUAUUUGGUCUCCGACUGACAAGACCUGGACGUGGAACAGACAAGAGAACCGACCAUUAGCUGUAGAACUCUCAGCUCCCUCUCCAGCACCACGUCUGUCGUAAUGCUGCCACGCUCCCUGCCGUGACGACAAAGGAGUGAACCUCUGAACGAUAAGCCAGCCCCAAAUAAAUGUUUCCCUAAGAGUUGUCAAGAUCCAGAUGUAGAACUCUGAGCUCCCUCUCCAGCACUAUGUCUGCCUCCACACUGCCAUGGUCCGCCACGACAAUAAUGGACUGAACCUCUGAAACUGGCCUCAAGCAGCCAAGGCUAGCCCGGACUCACUAUGUAGCCAAAGAUGACCUUAAACUCUCCAGGUUCCUGUUUCUAUCUCCUGAGUAAUAAGUGCUGGGAUUAAAGGUGUGCACCACCACUGGCUGGCUGGAAAUUAUGAGAAAUUGCCCUGGAGCUGAUGCGACACUCAUCCCGUCAUCUCCAGUGGUGAGGCAGGCAUCAUUUCCCCCUGACUUUGAUGGUUCACAUUCAGAGGCUGAGGCGGACUGCUGGUGGAAAAGAAAAAUCAUGAAGCUCGAUGCUUUGGAGUGGUCCCAAAGUCCCUGGUCUCCAAUCACCUCUCCAAAGGCCCAGGCACUUGGAACAAGUCCGUCCGUCCGUCCGUCCGUCCGUCCAUCCAUCCAGUGUGUGUGUGUGUGUGUGUGUGUGUGUGUGUGUGUGUGUGUGUGAGUAUGUGUCCCUCCGUCUGUCCCACGCUUGGGGUUGGGAAGAAGCAAGGAGGGAAUCCUACAACACCCAGCCCCUAUAAUCACAGCGGGCUCCCGAUCAGACCACAAAUGAAGAAAUGUGCAGACACCCACCCAGCCCUCCAUCUGCCCGGUGACUGCCGGUGCCAGGCACCGCAACCAGAGUCCAAGCGAGAAGGAACCUGUUGCCGUGUACCGUCGUUCACGCAAGGAAAACAAGCCCGCGUGGCACAUGGCGACUUAGGCUCAAGAGCAAGGACCCUGACCGUUCCGUUCGCUGGCCUGCUCCCAGAGCUACCACACCCAGAGAAGCUGCCUAACAAAAAGCAUACGCUGGGGCUGGGAAUUUAAGAAGUAAUCGUAAUAAUUGCUGGUUGGAUUAAUUACUUAAAAGAUUAGUAAACACUGACUACACAUGA